UUUAUCACUUAGAAAGAACUUAUAAAUACAUUUAAAUCAUAACAAGAACAUUCUCCUAAUGUUUCCUUACCCAUCUACUCCGACAUAAAUGGGUAAAAUUAUCCAUCUCUUUAGGAGAGAAUAGCAAGAACGAGCCUUUAGCCAACAAAUAUUUUUAUUGAUGUAAGAAUCUCUACAAGAGUUUUUAGGUAGAAAAUAAGAUGUGCUCCAACUAAAACUUAUUAUUCCUUUUGAUGUAUAAGGAAGCCUAAUAUAAGCAAAUAAAAAAUAAACAUUAUCUUACAUAUCCCACUAAUCUAAAUAUAGUAAAGCCCUAUAUAGGCACACAUUCCUAUUCUAGGUACACUUAUUUUCUAAUACAAAUGAAAUUUAAAUCACCCUUUGUUCAAAUUAGGCCCCACAAACAUCUGAUAAAGCCUAAAAAAUGAGAACCUAAAUAUAUUGUUUGCAUGUGACACCAUGCAGAAGCUGAUGGUUGUGCAACCUGUUUGCGACUUCCAAGCAGGUGGGUGAGCAUCUACUAAGCUUAUUGCAAGUAUGUCGGUAAUCUCUUUGUAGCUGUUUGUCAAAAAAUUGGAUAUAUAGAUUUUAGGCAAACCUUUCUAGUAGUUUUAUGGUAAACCAUGCUAGAUAAUUUUGUAGAGAUGGUAGUAAGUGGAAAUUUCUUGUAAAUGUCAUCAAAAGUCAUUUGUUCAUGUAGGUUUUAAAGGUGUUAAUGGAAAGCUCAAAAUAUCCUUCAUCCAUAUACAAGUUGACAUUGUUUUUCUUUUU
RNAcentral lists this long non-coding RNA (771 nucleotides) under Capsicum annuum. Its description in RNAcentral is "long non-coding RNA (CANN_LNC019356)". The record is from RNAcentral. Lineage: Eukaryota; Viridiplantae; Streptophyta; Magnoliopsida; Solanales; Solanaceae.